AACCUUGCGCAGUGGCAAUAUCGUAACCAAUGAAGGUCUCCUGAGGUGCGAUUAUUGCUAGUUGAAAACUUUCACCAAUAUUAUUAAUUAUCCUUUUAACUAACAAUUUAUACAGUUCAGUAUAAAUUUGGCAUUUUUCAGAUGAAG
This 147-nucleotide small nuclear RNA is filed under the name Rhodnius prolixus. RNAcentral describes it as "U4 spliceosomal RNA". It matches the Rfam family "U4 spliceosomal RNA". From Rfam's summary of the family: U4 small nuclear RNA (U4 snRNA) is a component of the major U2-dependent spliceosome. The structure of U4 snRNA from yeast and human has been reported. The record is from Rfam by way of RNAcentral. Lineage: Eukaryota; Metazoa; Arthropoda; Insecta; Hemiptera; Reduviidae.